AAGCCUGAUCCAGCCAUGCCGCGUGGGUGAAGAAGGCCUUCGGGUUGUAAAGCCCUUUUGUUGGGAAAGAAAAGCAGCCGGCCAAUACCCGGUUGUUCUGACGGUACCCAAAGAAUAAGCACCGGCUAACUCCGUGCCAGCAGCCGCGGUAAUACGGAGGGUGCAAGCGUUACUCGGAAUCACUGGGCGUAAAGAGCACGUAGGCGGCCUUGCAAGUCAGAUGUGAAAUCCAACGGCUUAACCGUUGAACUGCAUUUGAAACUGCAAGGCUAGAGUAUGGGAGAGGUAGGUGGAAUUCUCGGUGUAGGGGUAAAAUCCGUAGAGAUCGAGAGGAAUACUCAUUGCGAAGGCGACCUGCUGGAACAUUACUGACGCUGAGGUGCGAAAGCGUGGGGAGCAAACA
Molecule: ribosomal RNA, 403 nt
Filed under: uncultured Wolinella sp.
Lineage: Bacteria; Pseudomonadati; Campylobacterota; Epsilonproteobacteria; Campylobacterales; Helicobacteraceae
Description: bacterial SSU rRNA
Rfam family: Bacterial small subunit ribosomal RNA
Source: RNAcentral